RNAcentral lists this ribosomal RNA (253 nucleotides) under uncultured bacterium. RNAcentral describes it as "partial 16S ribosomal RNA". It matches the Rfam family "Bacterial small subunit ribosomal RNA", at positions 524 to 776 of the family's 1533-position model. The record is from RNAcentral.
UACGGAGGAUGCAAGCGUUAUCCGGAAUGAUUGGGCGUAAAGCGUCCGCAGGUGGCAGUUCAAGUCUGCUGUCAAAGACCGGGGCUUAACUUCGGAAAGGCAGUGGAAACUGAACAGCUAGAGUAUGGUAGGGGCAGAGGGAAUUCCUGGUGUAGCGGUGAAAUGCGCAGAUAUCAGGAGGAACACCAAUGGCGAAGGCAGCACUCUGGGACGGUACUGACGCUGAGACGCGAAAGCGUGGGGAGCAAACAGG